AUUUAAAUAGUUUAUAUAAAAUAGUAGCUUGUGGAGUUAUAGAAGAUUUAGUCUUUAAAUA
Molecule: transfer RNA, 61 nt
Filed under: Tetrodontophora bielanensis (giant springtail)
Lineage: Eukaryota; Metazoa; Arthropoda; Collembola; Poduromorpha; Onychiuridae
Description: tRNA-His
Source: RNAcentral